CUAGAAUUUUGACUCGAAAAUACAAAAGUACUGUACGUGCUUUUUUGAAAAGAAUAGGCUCGAAAUUGUUGGAAGAAUUUCUUAUGUCGAAAGAAGAACCUUCUCAAAAGUUUCUUCCACUUUGCGGGGAGUAUAUAAAAGUCAGACUUGGUAUUUGGAUAUUAUUCUGGAAGCUUGGAAAUAGAAACUUUCCCUAAAUAAAAAUGGAUGAAGAGAUAACAAAAUAAAAAUGUAAUUUCCACUAUUCUGAAAUGUUUAUAUAGUAUGUAAUAAGGGUUAAAUCAACUGAGUAUUCAACUUUUUAAAGUCUUUAUAAGAAAGAAAAAGAUGUAUACAUAAGGAAAGCCACGU
Molecule: long non-coding RNA, 351 nt
Filed under: Olea europaea subsp. europaea
Lineage: Eukaryota; Viridiplantae; Streptophyta; Magnoliopsida; Lamiales; Oleaceae
Source: RNAcentral